AGUAAUGCUUAGGAAUCUGCCUAUUAGUGGGGGACAACMUUUCGAAAGGAAUGCUAAUACCGCAUACGUCCUACGGGAGAAAGCAGGGGAUCUUCGGACCUUGCGCUAAUAGAUGAGCCUAAGUCGGAUUAGCUAGUUGGUGGGGUAAAGGCCUACCAAGGCGACGAUCUGUAGCGGGUCUGAGAGGAUGAUCCGCCACACUGGGACUGAGACACGGCCCAGACUCCUACGGGAGGCAGCAGUGGGGAAUAUUGGACAAUGGGCGCAAGCCUGAUCCAGCCAUGCCGCGUGUGUGAAGAAGGCCUUAUGGUUGUAAAGCACUUUAAGCGAGGAGGAGGCUACUUUAGUUAAUACCUAGAGAUAGUGGACGUUACUCGCAGAAUAAGCACCGGCUAACUCUGUGCCAGCAGCCGCGGUAAUACAGAGGGUGCAAGCGUUAAUCGGAUUUACUGGGCGUAAAGCGCGCGUAGGCGGCUAAUUAAGUCAAAUGUGAAAUCCCCGAGCUUAACUUGGGAAUUGCAUUCGAUACUGGUUAGCUAGAGUGUGGGAGAGGAUGGUAGAAUUCCAGGUGUAGCGGUGAAAUGCGUAGAGAUCUGGAGGAAUACCGAUGGCGAAGGCAGCCAUCUGGCCUAACACUGACGCUGAGGUGCGAAAGCAUGGGGAGCAAACAGGAUUAGAUACCCUGGUAGUCCAUGCCGUAAACGAUGUCUACUAGCCGUUGGGGCCUUUGAGGCUUUAGUGGCGCAGCUAACGCGAUAAGUAGACCGCCUGGGGAGUACGGUCGCAAGACUAAAACUCAAAUGAAUUGACGGGGGCCCGCACAAGCGGUGGAGCAUGUGG
This 840-nucleotide ribosomal RNA is filed under the name Acinetobacter sp. SFB4.1. RNAcentral describes it as "bacterial SSU rRNA". It matches the Rfam family "Bacterial small subunit ribosomal RNA", at positions 109 to 944 of the family's 1533-position model. The record is from RNAcentral. Lineage: Bacteria; Pseudomonadati; Pseudomonadota; Gammaproteobacteria; Moraxellales; Moraxellaceae.